GACUAACGCUGGCGGCGUGCCUAAUACAUGCAAGUCGAACGCAGUUGGGACGGGUGAGUAACACGUGGGUAACCUCCCAUCAGAGGGGAUAACACUUGGAAACAGGUGCUAAACCGAUACAGAUGGAUGGACCCGCGGUGCAUUAGCUAGUUGGUGGGUGAACGGCUCAACAAGGCCACGAUGCAUAGGCGACCUGAGAGGGGGGUCGGCCACACUGGGACUGAGACACGGCCCAAACUCCUACGGUAGGCAGCAGUAGGGAAUCUUCGGCAAUGGACUAAAGUCUGAGCGAGCAACGCCGCGUGAGUGAAGAAGGUUUUCGGAUCGUAAAACUCUGUUGUUAGAGAAGCGGUAUCUAACCAGAAAGCCACGGCUAACUACGUGCCAGCAGCCGCGGUAAUUC
Molecule: ribosomal RNA, 403 nt
Filed under: uncultured bacterium
Lineage: Bacteria
Description: partial 16S ribosomal RNA
Rfam family: Bacterial small subunit ribosomal RNA
Source: RNAcentral